UGCAUGGUGUCGAAAAGUCAGGACCUACUGUUUCAAUACUAUAUGUUAAAAUAAUAUGAAACAAUCGUUUAUCUUAAAAACUUUAGUUUCCAGAAGACGGUGUUGUUGCAUACUGGCGUUCAAAUUCAUCAAAACAAUCGCAAGAAGUACAAAUUAAGCGAAAAUAUGCAAGUACACAUAUAUAUAAGUCCACAAAAGUGAACACAUCAUCUCAAGCACAUAAUUAACCAACAUGCUAGCUAGCUACAUAAACUAACAACCAAAAGUUACCAUCCUAGAACUUCUAACAAUUAAGAUGAACAUAAAACCUACUUCUCCGAAUUAACUAUUAUAUAUCCUCAUUACAACUUGUGUUUGCUCUUCUAGAUCAGAUUAACAAUAAUGAUCUAUAUUAAUUAAUGCGCUUAUGGCUUUCCAGGAGGUUUAGGAUCAUGGUUGCUAUUUGCAUGCGAACCCGGAUAAUCGUUUAUUUCGAAAUCCAUCCUCUCGUUCACUGAGACAUGAUCUUCUUCCUUGAGAAUAUUUUGGGUGAUCACCUCCUGCAGAAUAGAUCAUAUACAACAAGAAAAACAGGAUUAAUUUUCCGCGCCUCAGUAAUUAAACUUUUGCAUUUAUACCCUCCAAACAAUUUAAUUACAUUGGCUUUAAUUUAUGCAAGAAUAUAUCUAUUUGUCUAAGUCCUCAAUAGUCAGAAUUUGCCCUUUAUGCGAUUAGAAAUAGUAUAUACAUUGUGACACUCGCAGGAUUUAGAAUAUCUCUAAAUAUAGAAUAUAAUAGAACUAAAUUUUUUAAUUAACUCGAUUAUAAAUAAACUUUAGUUCUAGUACUACUCUCGAUUAUAAUAUUCUAGACACAAAUUCAGUAAUUUAAAAGUUUUGAGGGGUACAUAUGUAAUUACGUGUGUUUUGAGGGGUAUAUAUGCGAAAAUUCCUCAUUUUAUUCCCACUAGCAGUUGCAGUACAUCAUCUUAUUAAAAACCAGCUAUCAGACAACUUGAUGGCAUGCCUUUCUGUUUUUUCUGAAAAUGAUGAAAGGGACAGCCAGGCUUUGUUUGAUAACAGUAAUUAAGUUAUUAAUUACAAGAACAGCAUUGCCCUGCCUAUGAUCCAAAACAGAUUGUAAUCCUAACUUAUAUGUUUUAUUAUUAUCGUUUUAACUGGAAAACUAAAAACGAUCGAGUUUGGUAAAUCCUUGGAUUCUUGGGUACAGAAUUGUAAAAAACAACAAAUCCUUUUUAAUUAUAGAUAUCGGCUUCAUUCGGGAUUGCGAGGAGAUUACGUUACGUGUGGUGAGAAAGUACGAUAGAAAAAUACCUUAUUUAUUUUCGCAUGUAAUAUUAAGUUCUGGAUAUUAGAAUGAGCCGGUUACGAUAUAUUUUCUACGGUUCCAAUAGAAAACGCAGAAGUAUAUUUCUAUAUACUUUUAUUCCAACUCCAUUUUAUCUAAUAGCGACAGAUAAGCCUCAAUAUCAAACUAAUCCUUGGUAUAUCUCUUACACGCCAAAAAAAAAAAAAAAAAGCCCAUAACAGGCGGUAGAAUAGUGCUCUGCAAGAAGGUUAAGAAUUCAGAAAUGCCAAUGCAGAUAAAUAAAAUCCCUAAUUAUAGCUUAUAUCAACAGUUUCAUUAACUUUUCUUGUAUAUAUACAUGGCAUUAGAUCUCUGCAUAUCUCAUAACAAGCUUUUUGUCCAUGUAGUGAGAGAGAGAGAGAGAGAGAGAGCGAGAGAGAGAGAGAGAGAGAGAGAGAGACCUGAUUUGCUGCUAAUCCUGUUUUUAGCUUUCUUGGUUCAGAACAUCCUGAAAAACAAAAGCCCAAAAAAACCUCAAAUUCAUAAAAGCAUAAAAUAAUUAAAACAAAGCUAAUUUGCUUCUCUAAUUCUUAUAUUAGAAAAUAGGCGACAAAAAUAUCAACAUGAAUAAGAGAAAUAUAUAGUAACUAAAGAGAGGCCACAGUACGUACCGAGAGAAAAAAGGCAUGAAAAGAGCAACAACAAUAUGAAGAGACGAAGCAGAGGCUUCUUCUGAUCCAUCCGAGAAAUUAACCUCUACUUUGAUAUAUAUAGAUAUCCUGAGUGGUACAAUAAGCUCACUACUACUCUUUGGCUUCUUAAUUAUGCCCUGGUGUUGGAGCAGUGGUGGGUGCGAGAGGGGGUUUAUAUAUAUAUAUAAUGCCAAAAGAUGGAGUUCACAUCUUGUAGUCAACUUCCCCAUUAUCUUACAGAGGAAGUGUCCCCUCAUCCUUUC
This 2242-nucleotide long non-coding RNA is filed under the name Ananas comosus (pineapple). RNAcentral describes it as "long non-coding RNA (ACOM_LNC007712)". Lineage: Eukaryota; Viridiplantae; Streptophyta; Magnoliopsida; Poales; Bromeliaceae. The record is from RNAcentral.